GGGUCUGUAACUUCCCUGGGUCUGACAUAGGAGUGAUGUAGCUGGCCUGAGUGAGUGUGCAGAUUGUCCUUGUGUGAGAGAGAUCGUUUUGCACUGCCUUCAGGUUGAUGGAAAAUGUCAGUGGUGUAGAGUCAAGGACCUCACUAUCUUUUAAAUCAUUUAUCCUGGAGAAGGGACUCUGAUCCUUGCUUUUCUAGGUAAAUUGUGCUGUAGUGCUUCCAAUACUAAGGCCGCUUGAUUCUUUUCCCAUGAUCACUUUGAGCACUGACAAAUCAUGGUAGAGGUGCCCACCAACCAGUUUGC
Molecule: long non-coding RNA, 303 nt
Filed under: Androctonus crassicauda
Lineage: Eukaryota; Metazoa; Arthropoda; Arachnida; Scorpiones; Buthidae
Source: RNAcentral